AUGGCCGCUGUGUGUCAGCCACGACGCGCCUUGGUGGAGAUACCGACCCCCCAGCCCAAGAUUGCAGCUCGAAUGAGGAGAUCCUACCUGGAGAUCCUGAGCGCUCGUUUGGCUCCAUCUCCGCUUCCGAGAGGGAGAAACCCGAACACGAAGCGCGGCCCCCAGCUGGACGUGUCGAUCGGAGCCGUGUGGAGUGGGAGGAUGGAGCAGCAGUGCGAGAAGAUGGAGGAGCACCACGCGCCUCUCUCCAAACAGCAGCUUGUGCAGCUCAUCAGGUCGCUCAUCUUGGUUGAGCAGAGCCAGGAGCCCAGGACCCUGACGUCGGACCUGAAGUAUCUCCAGGAAGAUCUGCAGCUAAAGAAAGCCAAUGUUUUCCGGUCCAUUCCGUACUCGCGGCUCGGCUCCAACCGGGACGCUCACUGCUACAGAAAAGCGUAUCCUCACCUGGUGGCUUUCAAAGUUUCCUGUCAGGAAUGGGGACAGGUUCUCCUGAGGAACAAAGAGUGGAAAUCUGUGUUGGAGCACACAUUGAUGGCGUGGCGCUACACCAGCGAGCUGCCGCACUGGGAUACGGCGAACCACAACGCUCUCCGACAACAGUGUUACGAUAUUUUGGCAGCAAACAGCCUCGCUGCUCUCCAGCACCACCAGCCGGGACCCGACAGAGGACGCGAGCUGCUCAGAAGGUGGAAUAUGGCUCAGUCGCACAGCCAGUCAAUCGUGCCCUGUAUUGAGGCGCUGCAGAGGAUUAUGGGAUGCGCCGUCCUCUUCUCCAUGGACACCAAAUAG
Long non-coding RNA from Gasterosteus aculeatus (three-spined stickleback), 789 nucleotides. The record is from Ensembl. Lineage: Eukaryota; Metazoa; Chordata; Actinopteri; Perciformes; Gasterosteidae.